Molecule: ribosomal RNA, 830 nt
Filed under: uncultured marine microorganism
Description: bacterial SSU rRNA
Rfam family: Bacterial small subunit ribosomal RNA
Source: RNAcentral
AGAGUUUGAUCAUGGCUCAGAUUGAACGCUGGCGGCAGGCCUAACACAUGCAAGUCGAACGGUAACAUUUCUAGCUUGCUAGAAGAUGACGAGUGGCGGACGGGUGAGUAAUGCUUGGGAACUUGCCUUUGCGAGGGGGAUAACAGUUGGAAACGACUGCUAAUACCGCAUAAUGUCUACGGACCAAACGGGGCUUAGGCUCCGGCGCAAAGAGAGGCCCAAGUGAGAUUAGCUAGUUGGUAAGGUAAUGGCUUACCAAGGCAACGAUCUCUAGCUGUUCUGAGAGGAAGAUCAGCCACACUGGAACUGAGACACGGUCCAGACUCCUACGGGAGGCAGCAGUGGGGAAUAUUGCACAAUGGGGGAAACCCUGAUGCAGCCAUGCCGCGUGUGUGAAGAAGGCCUUCGGGUUGUAAAGCACUUUCAGUUGUGAGGAAAAGUUAGUAGUUAAUACCUGCUAGCCGUGACGUUAACAACAGAAGAAGCACCGGCUAACUCCGUGCCAGCAGCCGCGGUAAUACGGAGGGUGCGAGCGUUAAUCGGAAUUACUGGGCGUAAAGCGCACGCAGGCGGUUUGUUAAGCUAGAUGUGAAAGCCCCGGGCUCAACCUGGGAUAGUCAUUUAGAACUGGCAGACUAGAGUCUUGGAGAGGGGAGUGGAAUUCCAGGUGUAGCGGUGAAAUGCGUAGAUAUCUGGAGGAACAUCAGUGGCGAAGGCGACUCCCUGGCCAAAGACUGACGCUCAUGUGCGAAAGUGUGGGUAGCGAACAGGAUUAGAUACCCUGGUAGUCCACACCGUAAACGCUGUCUACUAGCUGUUUGUGACUUUAA